RNAcentral lists this ribosomal RNA (292 nucleotides) under uncultured prokaryote. RNAcentral describes it as "partial 16S ribosomal RNA". It matches the Rfam family "Bacterial small subunit ribosomal RNA", at positions 505 to 796 of the family's 1533-position model. The record is from RNAcentral.
UUGCCAGCAGCCGCGGUAAUACGUAGGUGGCAAGCGUUAUCCGGAAUUAUUGGGCGUAAAGGGCUCGCAGGCGGUUCCUUAAGUCUGAUGUGAAAGCCCCCGGCUCAGCCGGGGAGGGACAUUGGAAACUGGGGAACUUGAGUGCAGAAGAGGAGAGUGGAAUUCCACGUGUAGCGGUGAAAUGCGUAGAGAUGUGGAGGAACACCAGUGGCGAAGGCGACUCUCUGGUCUGUAACUGACGCUGAGGAGCGCAAGCGUGGGGAGCAAACAGGAUUAGAUACCCCAGGAGUCC